RNA transcript from Zingiber officinale, 1925 nucleotides. RefSeq lists it as uncharacterized. Lineage: Eukaryota; Viridiplantae; Streptophyta; Magnoliopsida; Zingiberales; Zingiberaceae. The record is from RefSeq and is a predicted model, not a curated record. The transcript is spliced from 5 exons.
CUCGAUCCUACGCCCACUAUUUCUUUAUCCUCCUCACCAUGUAUUUUUUCAACAAUUUCUGACACUUAGCACCACCAAACUCAUCUUUUUAGCUACCAAAGACGCGAUCGUUUUUCCUCCAUCUCAUUGAACCCUCAACCAUCCAAAUCAGGUUUUUUCGAAUCGUCGUAGCCCCCCGUUCAACUGCCUCCUCGUUUUUUCGCACGAAUCUAACGCGAAGGAGUCGUGCUCCGGCGAGUGUUUCGGAAAAUACAAAACCACUACUUAUUUUGGUAAAUUGUCGUAAUUAACAAAACUUGCAAUUUCCAGACCUGGGACUUCGGAGUGCAUUCAUCGGCUUACAGGGAGGAAAACAUAGAAUGAUGCAGGCGAGAUGGCUCGCCAAGCUCGGUCGAGAUGUGCUCUCCUCUUCCCGUUCCGUCAUCUUUCUUCUCCCUUCACGAUGUCUGGCAGCAUCGGCGUUCUCCACGAAUCCAAUCCGUAAGCCCGUCUCCCAUGCCUUCAUUUUCACGGCCCGUCGUCACAGCCAGUCGCCAGGUUUAGGGUUUUACCCUACCUCUCCUUUCCUCCAGGCGAUUCAAGCUCGUCUUUAUGCCGCAGAGGAUAGAUCUCGAGCACCGCUGAAGCCGGUUAAGUCUAAAGUGAAGAAAUACAAGCUGAAGUCUUACUCGUCUUUUAAGUUCAGAUUUAGGACCAUGAAUGAUGGACAGAUACGGAGAUGGAGGGCUGGAAAGAGGCACAAUGCACACUUGAAGUUGCUAAUACUUUUAAGUGUUAUAGAAGCUUACCUUGGCUGGACGCUCUGUGAAACUUUAUACAAAACUUGACUAGUGAAAAGUUAUGCAUGUUUUGUAUAGUACGCCACUGCCUACUGGAUGUGGUUGGAAGAGAGGAUGCAAACCAAGAAGGCAAAACGAAGACUGAGGAAACCUGCGAUUGUGCAUUUAGCUUAUGCAAAGGUUCUAAAGAAGCUGAAUUUUUGUGGCUAGCACUGAAGGUCUUGCGAUUUCAAUUUGAACUCCCAAGUUGCUGGGGCACUUCUCUACAUCAAAAUUACCAUCUAGCAGUUUAAUUUCCAAGACCUUGAACUUUGAUCCUUGCGAUAUCAGGAAACGCUAGAAUGACCUUUUCCUAUUCGAGAGAGAGCAUACUAACAUACUGUGCCUCUCCUUCCUCUUUGUAAUAGAAAUAUGCAAAUCUGUCCAGCGAUUUAUUUAUAUAUUUUGCAUAGUAGUAGCUUCCAUGCGUUCCGAAUUCAGCGUGAGCUGGAACUCUAUGAACAGAAUGCAAAAGACAGCCUUCUUUUUCUGGAUGGUUAAGCUUGUCCAGUAAAAAUAUGUUAAUGUAGUUUUUGGUUAUAUGUAUCACGUUUUUUUUUAUCACAAAUCUCUGUGGAUUGCUUUCUCUUUAAUAUUUACUAUAAAAUUAAUGAUUGAUUUCCUAUGCCAUCUCAAGAACUGAACUGAAGAUAGAGAGAGCACUUGUUCAUGUACAUCGAAUUGGCUGGUUCAACGGGUGGAUAAACUGAGGAUUUUAUUAAAUAAAGAGAGCCAUCUACCUACUGUUUCUUGAAACUGAUAAUGCUUUUUAACCAUCAGUUUUCUAGUUUUAAUAGAUUAUUUGUUUCAACUCUAGGUAAAUCUAUCUACAGCUGGACUUGGUUUAAUUUUUUCUUAAUUCACACAUCUUAGCUGGAAUAUCCCCUUUGCCAAUGUGAAUUUAUUAGACAGGUGAUUCUGCCCUUUAAUCAAAGAUGUUAUCGGCACCACCUGAAAGUUGAACAAAAGCAUUUCAUGAUCUGUGUGCUCAAACAAAUCUCGCCCCAGAGCCCUUAACCCUGGUGCACUCGCAUUGUCCUCCUUUGGUUGCUCCUCAACCUUUGUUCUUAGUGUUUUUUUUUAUGUGAUCAUCAGCAACGACUUGAG